UGGGGAAUAUUGGACAAUGGGCGAAAGCCUGAUCCAGCCAUGCCGCGUGAGUGAUGAAGGCCCUAGGGUUGUAAAGCUCUUUUGUGCGGGAAGAUAAUGACGGUACCGCAAGAAUAAGCCCCGGCUAACUUCGUGCCAGCAGCCGCGGUAAUACGAAGGGGGCUAGCGUUGCUCGGAAUCACUGGGCGUAAAGGGUGCGUAGGCGGGUUUUUAAGUCAGAGGUGAAAUCCUGGAGCUCAACUCCAGAACUGCCUUUGAUACUGAAAGUCUUGAGUAUGACAGAGGUGAGUGGAACUGCGAGUGUAGAGGUGAAAUUCGUAGAUAUUCGCAAGAACACCAGUGGCGAAGGCGGCUCACUGGGUCAUAACUGACGCUGAGGCACGAAAGCGUGGGGAGCAAACA
This 402-nucleotide ribosomal RNA is filed under the name uncultured Bradyrhizobiaceae bacterium. Its description in RNAcentral is "bacterial SSU rRNA". It matches the Rfam family "Bacterial small subunit ribosomal RNA", at positions 355 to 774 of the family's 1533-position model. Lineage: Bacteria; Pseudomonadati; Pseudomonadota; Alphaproteobacteria; Hyphomicrobiales; Nitrobacteraceae. The record is from RNAcentral.